CUCCUACGGGACGCAGCAGUGAGGAAUAUUGGUCAAUGGGCGGAAGCCUGAACCAGCCAAGUCGCGUGAGGGAAGAAGGCCCUGCGGGUCGCAGACCUCUUUGGACGGGGAGCAAGGCCGCCGACGUGUCGGCGGAAGGAGAGUACCCGUAGAACAAGCAUCGGCUAACUCCGUGCCAGCAGCCGCGGUAAUACGGAGGAUGCGAGCGUUAUCCGGAUUUAUUGGGUUUAAAGGGUGCGCAGGCGGGCCUUUAAGCCGGCGGCGAAAACGCGGGGC
This 276-nucleotide ribosomal RNA is filed under the name uncultured bacterium. RNAcentral describes it as "partial 16S ribosomal RNA". It matches the Rfam family "Bacterial small subunit ribosomal RNA", at positions 336 to 608 of the family's 1533-position model. The record is from RNAcentral.